GGGCAGGGGGUUUUCAUAAGGGCAGUGGGGGACCACUCUGAGCUGAAUAACAAGCAGGGGGUUGAUGUCGGGUUACAGCGCAGGCAGUGGCAGAGCAGGAGGAUGACGAGGACGCAGUGAGUUUGCGCAGGAGCAGGAAAGUUACACAAAAGCUGACUUCAUGACCUGAGUCAGUUCUCACAUUGAGAGAAUGCACCGCUGUGAAGACCAAGCACCGGGGAAUAGAGCACCACUGACCCACUUACGUUAGAAGCAAAAAAGCAAAUCAUCCAAUCAAGUGGCUGGAGACGAACAAGCUCUCCUCUCUUCUUCCAAGCGACAGAGAGAACGGGACUAAUCUCAGAUGUCUGCAGGACAUGCAGGGGAAGAGCAAACACAUGGAAGAUGGUGAUCUGGUCAGAAGCGUGCUGGUGGCAUCACCAUGCUGUGAAGGCGGUUUCCUUCAGCAUCAGCAGGCAAGCUGGACAAAGGUGACGAGACGUUGAUGGGAUCCCGGAGGAGAAAUUGUUAGAUGCUGCGAAAGACUUGAA
Molecule: long non-coding RNA, 530 nt
Organism: Fundulus heteroclitus (mummichog)
Lineage: Eukaryota; Metazoa; Chordata; Actinopteri; Cyprinodontiformes; Fundulidae
Exons: 5
Source: RefSeq, a predicted model, not a curated record